CAGAUAAAUGAUUGGUAUCCAAAAUUUAUAAAAGAUUUAUCAAACUCAACACCCAAAAAACCAAAUAACUCAGUCAAGAAGUAGGCAGAAGACACGAACGGACAUUUCCCCAAAGAAGACAUAUAAAUGGCCAACAGACACAUGAGAAAAUGCUCAGUGUUAUUCAACAUCAGGGAA
This is a long non-coding RNA of Mustela erminea (ermine), 177 nucleotides long. RefSeq lists it as uncharacterized. The record is from RefSeq and is a predicted model, not a curated record. Lineage: Eukaryota; Metazoa; Chordata; Mammalia; Carnivora; Mustelidae. The transcript is spliced from 3 exons.